AGUGGCUUCCGGAGCUAACGCGUUAAAUCGACGCUGGGAGUACGGCCGCAAGGUUAAAACUCAAAUGAAUUGACGGGGGCCCGCACAGCGGUGGAGCAUGUGGUUUAAUUCGAUGCAACGCGAAGAACCUUACCUACUCUUGACAUCCAGAGAAUUUAGCAGAGAUGCUUUAGUGCUUUCGGGAACUCUGAGACAGGUGCUGCAUGGCUGUCGUCAGCUCGUGUUGUGAAAUGUUGGGUUAAGUCCCGCAACGAGCGCAACCCUUAUCCUUUGUUGCCAGCACGUUAUGGUGGGAACUCAAAGGAGACUGCCGGUGAUAAACCGGAGGAAGGUGGGGAUGACGUCAAGUCAUCAUGGCCCUUACGAGUAGGGCUACACACGUGCUACAAUGGCGUAUACAAAGAGAAGCGACCUCGCGAGAGCAAGCGGAACUCAUAAAGUACGUCGUAGUCCGGAUUGGAGUCUGCAACUCGACUCCAUGAAGUCGGAAUCGCUAGUAAUCGUAGAUCAGAAUGCUACGGUGAAUACGUUCCCGGGCCUUGUACACACCGCCCGUCACACCAUGGGAGUGGGUUGCAAAAGAAGUAGGUAGCUUAACCUUCGGGGGGGCGCUUACCACUUUGUGAUUCAUGACUGGGGUGAAGUCGUAACAAGGUAACCA
RNAcentral lists this ribosomal RNA (661 nucleotides) under uncultured Providencia sp. RNAcentral's name for it is "bacterial SSU rRNA". It matches the Rfam family "Bacterial small subunit ribosomal RNA", at positions 838 to 1502 of the family's 1533-position model. Lineage: Bacteria; Pseudomonadati; Pseudomonadota; Gammaproteobacteria; Enterobacterales; Morganellaceae. The record is from RNAcentral.